RNAcentral lists this ribosomal RNA (192 nucleotides) under Triticum aestivum (bread wheat). Its description in RNAcentral is "partial small subunit ribosomal RNA". Lineage: Eukaryota; Viridiplantae; Streptophyta; Magnoliopsida; Poales; Poaceae. The record is from RNAcentral.
UUCGCCAAGCUUGUCGCGAAGCUGCUCUCCCUUCGCCUGGCACCACGUCUGGGAUCCAUGGUCUCUACCAACCAAAGCGCAUUCAUUGCGGGACGGUGCAUCCACGACAACUACAUGCUAAUGCAACAGACGGCCCGUCUCCUUCACAACCUCAAGGCGCCGCACAUGCUUCUCAAGCUCGAUAUUGCAUGA